RNAcentral lists this ribosomal RNA (496 nucleotides) under uncultured bacterium. Its description in RNAcentral is "partial 16S ribosomal RNA". It matches the Rfam family "Bacterial small subunit ribosomal RNA", at positions 29 to 507 of the family's 1533-position model. The record is from RNAcentral.
AACGAACGCUGGCGGCGCGUCUUACGCAUGCAAGUCGAACGGCAAGGGAGGAGCUUGCUUCUCUCCUAGAGUGGCGGACUGGUGAGGAACACGUGGGUAAUCUACCCUUAAGAUGGGGAUAGCUGCUAGAAAUAGCAGGUAAUACCGAAUACACUCGGCAUAUCACAAGAGGUGUUGAGGAAAGGAAGCUACGGCUUCGCUUGAGGAUGAGCUUGCGUCCCAUUAGCUAGUUGGUGAGGUAAAGGCCCACCAAGGCGACGAUGGGUAUCCGGCCUGAGAGGGUGAACGGACACAUUGGGACUGAGAUACGGCCCAAACUCCUACGGGAGGCAGCAGCUAAGAAUAUUCCGCAAUGGACGGAAGUCUGACGGAGCGACGCCGCGUGGAUGAAGAAGGCUGAAAAGUUGUAAAAUCCUUUUGUUGAUGAAGAAUAAGGGUGAGAGGGAAUGCUCAUCUGAUGACGGUAAUCGACGAAUAAGCCCCGGCUAAUUACGUG